UUCCACCUGCAAUUCGGGCUAGGUACUCCACCUGAAGCUAAGUAGGUUUGGGCCUGGCCAGUACUUGGAUGGGAGACCAACUAGGAACUGCUGGAAAAGGUGUAGG
This 106-nucleotide ribosomal RNA is filed under the name Paramormyrops kingsleyae. The record is from RNAcentral. Lineage: Eukaryota; Metazoa; Chordata; Actinopteri; Osteoglossiformes; Mormyridae.